GGGCCCGCACAAGCGGUGGAGCAUGUGGUUUAAUUCGAUGAUACGCGAGGAACCUUACCAGGGCUUAAAUGUAGUGGGACAGGUCUAGAGAUAGACCCUUCUUCGGACUCAUUACAAGGUGCUGCAUGGUUGUCGUCAGCUCGUGCCGUGAGGUGUCAGGUUAAGUCCUAUAACGAGCGCAACCCCUAUCGUUAGUUGCCAGCGGGUAAUGCCGGGAACUCUAGCGAAACUGCCGGUGCAAACCGUGAGGAAGGUGGGGAUGACGUCAAAUCAUCACGGCCCUUACGUCCUGGGCUACACACGUGCUACAAUGGUCGGUACAGAGAGCAGCCACUAUGCGAAUAGGAGCUAAUCUUUAAAACCGGUCUCAGUUCGGAUCGCAGUCUGCAACUCGACUGCGUGAAGCUGGAAUCGCUAGUAAUCG
This 424-nucleotide ribosomal RNA is filed under the name uncultured bacterium. RNAcentral's name for it is "bacterial SSU rRNA". It matches the Rfam family "Bacterial small subunit ribosomal RNA", at positions 917 to 1344 of the family's 1533-position model. The record is from RNAcentral.